CUGCAGCUUAAUCCACUGUAGCUUGGUCCUACCCACAGGCUCUGGUGCGCAGUGCAGCUGCCAUUGGGAAUGGCAGCCCCUUGGGUUUUCCUUCUUUCUUUGCCUUGGGUUUAUGGAGACUCCUGGAUCUCUCAGGAUCAGCUGUCCUUUACCAGGAGGCCAAACAAGACGGUGCACAUAAGUUGCAAGCUCUCUGGAGUCCCCCUUCAGAACACCAUUGUGCACUGGUACCAACUGAAAGAAGGGGAGCCCCUGAAACGAAUCUUCUAUGGCUCAUCCAAAACUUACAAGCAAGACAAACCUCACUCCCGCCUGGAAACAGAUGAGAAGAAUGACGGUACCUUUUACCUGAUAAUCAACAAUGUUAUCACAUCAGAUGAAGCCACGUACUACUGUGCCUGCUGGGAUCUCACAGUGGCUCAGCGUCUGAAGGAACCUGUAAGAAAACCUUCCUAG
Acomys russatus (golden spiny mouse) is the source of this 456-nucleotide non-coding RNA. The record is from the annotation of a RefSeq genome assembly. NCBI's taxonomy places the organism in Eukaryota, Metazoa, Chordata, Mammalia, Rodentia, Muridae.